RNAcentral lists this ribosomal RNA (441 nucleotides) under uncultured bacterium. RNAcentral's name for it is "partial 16S ribosomal RNA". It matches the Rfam family "Bacterial small subunit ribosomal RNA", at positions 338 to 795 of the family's 1533-position model. The record is from RNAcentral.
CCUACGGGAGGCUGCAGUAGGGAAUCUUUCACAAUGGGCGAAAGCCUGAUGGAGCAACGCCGCGUGCAGGAUGAAGGCCUUCGGGUUUUAAACUGCUUUUAUAAGCGAGAAAUAUGAUGGUAACUUAUGAAUAAGGAUCGUCUAACUACGUGCCAGCAGCCGCGGUCAUACGUAGGAUCCGAGCAUUAUCCGGAGUGACUGGGUGUAAAGGGUUGCGUAGGUGGCAUAAUAAGUAGCCGGUGAAAUUUGGUGGCUCAACCAUUCAUACUAUUAGCUAACUGUUAAGCUUGAGACCGUUAGGGGUAACUGGAAUGUCUAGUGUAGGAGUGAAAUCCGUAGAUAUUAGAAGGAACACCAAUAGCGUAGGCAGGUUACUGGGACGGUUCUGACACUAAGGCACGAAAGCGUAGGGAGCAAACGGGAUUAGAUACCCGAGUAGUC